RNAcentral lists this ribosomal RNA (491 nucleotides) under uncultured bacterium. RNAcentral's name for it is "partial 16S ribosomal RNA". It matches the Rfam family "Bacterial small subunit ribosomal RNA", at positions 29 to 506 of the family's 1533-position model. The record is from RNAcentral.
AGUGAACGCUGGCGGUAGGCCUAACACAUGCAAGUCGAACGGCAGCACAGUAAGAGCUUGCUCUUACGGGUGGCGAGUGGCGGACGGGUGAGGAAUACAUCGGAAUCUACUUUUUCGUGGGGGAUAACGUAAGGAAACUUACGCUAAUACCGCAUACGACCUACGGGUGAAAGCAGGGGAUCUUCGGACCUUGCGCGAUUGAAUGAGCCGAUGUCGGAUUAGCUAGUUGGCGGGGUAAAGGCCCACCAAGGCGACGAUCCGUAGCUGGUCUGAGAGGAUGAUCAGCCACACUGGAACUGAGACACGGUCCAGACUCCUACGGGAGGCAGCAGUGGGGAAUAUUGGACAAUGGGCGCAAGCCUGAUCCAGCCAUACCGCGUGGGUGAAGAAGGCCUUCGGGUUGUAAAGCCCUUUUGUUGGGAAAGAAAAGCAGCAGGUUAAUACCCCGCUGUUCUGACGGUACCCAAAGAAUAAGCACCGGCGAACUUCGU